This is a non-coding RNA of Candidatus Micrarchaeota archaeon CG1_02_55_22, 72 nucleotides long. The record is from Rfam. Lineage: Archaea; Nanobdellati; Microcaldota.
GCCUCAGUAGCUCAGUGGUAGAGCGGUUGCCUUGUAAGCAACAGGCCGAGGGUUCAAUCCCCUCCUGGGGCU